AUUGAACGCUGGCGGCAGGCCUAACACAUGCAAGUCGAACGGUAACAGGAAGAAGCUUGCUUCUUUGCUGACGAGUGGCGGACGGGUGAGUAAUGUCUGGGAAACUGCCUGAUGGAGGGGGAUAACUACUGGAAACGGUAGCUAAUACCGCAUAACGUCGCAAGACCAAAAAGGGGGACCUUCGGGCCUCUUGCCAUCGGAUGUGCCCAGAUGGGAUUAGCUAGUAGGUGGGGUAACGGCUCACCUAGGCGACGAUCCCUAGCUGGUCUGAGAGGAUGACCAGCCACACUGGAACUGAGACACGGUCCAGACUCCUACGGGAGGCAGCAGUGGGGAAUAUUGCACAAUGGGCGCAAGCCUGAUGCAGCCAUGCCGCGUGUAUGAAGAAGGCCUUCGGGUUGUAAAGUACUUUCAGCGGGGAGGAAGGGAGUAAAGUUAAUACCUUUGCUCAUUGACGUUACCCGCAGAAGAAGCACCGGCUAACUCCGCG
RNAcentral lists this ribosomal RNA (490 nucleotides) under uncultured bacterium. Its description in RNAcentral is "partial 16S ribosomal RNA". It matches the Rfam family "Bacterial small subunit ribosomal RNA", at positions 30 to 507 of the family's 1533-position model. The record is from RNAcentral.